This 3507-nucleotide long non-coding RNA is filed under the name Homo sapiens (human). RNAcentral describes it as "PREDICTED lncRNA (TCONS_00000919)". The record is from RNAcentral. Lineage: Eukaryota; Metazoa; Chordata; Mammalia; Primates; Hominidae.
UAAAUAAUGUGGUUAUUUAUUAAAGAUACAUUAAUAAUUCUUGUAAUUGAUGCAGGUUUUCUUUUUUCUACAGACUACUAUUAUUUUAUUCUUGUCUCUCUGGAAAAUGAAAAAUCCAUUAGUUUUUCUCUUUUGCUUUUACCCAGAAAUUAAAGGUUGGUAAGUGGUAAUUAGCGUAGCUCCUGUCAAAGCCAGUUGCCUCAUGAGGACCGACAUUUGACUUAAGCUGAAAUAAUGGAAUAUGGCUAAUGUAAAGUUCAUUAGUCCCAGCUGCUUUCUUUGACAUUCUUUUCUUCUACCACAAGAACGGGCAUGCCCUGCCCUCUCUCACUCCUAUUUUUAGACGUAUUGCUGCGCUCCUAUGUGUCUAUUCUACAAGGCUGGAGGCACAGUGGUUAUAGGGAAGGUAAAUGGUAAUGGGACAAUAUGUCUGUGACCACGUUCAUUACACAUCUGGGAUAGAGCUCUGACUCUUUGAUAGAGGACUCCAGCACCCCAUCUGUCUGCCCCUGAGAAACGAAAGAGAACCACUCUCCACUGUCUACUAUAUGUUAGGUACUAGGAUUUUUCUCAUUAUAGCACUUCAUUCCUUUCUUGGGGGGGACUGGAUUAUUUAUUUUGAGACAGGGCCUCACUCUGCCACCCAGGAUGGAGUGCAGUGGCACGAUCACAGCUCAUUGUAGCCUCGAACUCCUGGGCUCAAGUGAUCCUUCUGCCUUAGCCUCCCGAGUAUCUAGGAUUACAGGCAUGUACCACUACACCCGGCUAAUUUUUAUUUUUUACAUUUUUGUAGAGAUGGGGUCUUGCUAUGUUCCCCAGGUCGGUCUGUCGGUCAUGUGGUACUUCAUUUAGGCCAGGCGUGGUGGCUCACCACCUAUACUCCCAGCACUUUGGGAGGCCAAGGCAGGUGGAUCACUUGAGGUCAGGAGUUUGAGACCAGUCUAGCCAACAUGGUGAAACCCUGUGUCUACUAAAAAUACCAAAAAAAACUUAGCCGGGUGUGGUGGCGGGCACCUGUAAUCCCAGCUACUCUGGAGGCUGAGGCAAGAGAAUCGCCUGAACCUGGGAGAUGGAGGUUGCAGUGAGCAGAGAUUGUGCCACUACACUCCAGCCUGGGCAACAGAGCAAAGCCUCAAACAAAACGAAAACGAAACAAAACAAAUAUAGUACUUCAUUUAACCCUUUCAAGCUUGGAGCCUUAGACUAACUGAGAGGUUAGACUCAAGCCGGUUUGUCUCACUCCCAAAUCCACAGGACAUUUUCCAUUAUCCACCCAGUUCAGCCGCUUGGUGGGCUUGCUUCAAGUACAGAAUAUUAACACUAACGCCCAGACGAGUCAACGAACGCUCUGUGUGUCUAACAGAAAUAAAAUAUUCUGGCUGGGUGUGGUGGCUCAUGCCUGUAAUCCCAAAAUUCUGGGAAGCUGAUGUGGGAGGAUUGCUUGAGGCCUGGAGUUUGAGACCAGCCUGGGUAACAUGGUGAGUUUUAAUGUACCCUGGAUUUCCUAGGAAUGUAGCUACUCUGUAAAUCAAGGACAGACACGUUUACUGUUCUGGGAAAUCCCAUUUCCAAGGGCAACGCUGCUGACGGUGUUUGAGCUGACAAUCCCCGUGCCCCAUGUGCCAAUCAGCCUCUGUCGGAUGCACAGCGAUUCCGUGUGUAAGUGCAAGCAUCUGACAGUGAAACACACACCACUUUGUUGGAAAUUAUUUUCCUUUUUGCCCUGAAACAGUACAUCUGGGGCAUUAUAUUAAUGCUUCUGUAUGAGUGUAGGUAGCUUAUCAGCGGUGGCUUCUAUUAAAGGAUAAUUAAGGAGGCAUUACAAAAUAAGCUAUAAAAAAGGAAAUGUUGGGGUGAGAGCCAAUGGAGGGCAUUAGUAAAAGGAUGCUGAGUAGAAGAUCUAAGCCCUUCUUGAAUCACAGGAAAAGGAAACAGUUGUUUUUGUUCUAUUUAAUUGUUUUCUGUACCCCCAUCUUUACCCUAGGACUUAUUGUGAUUUUCUUUUUUUUUUUUUUUUAAAGACAGAGUCUCAUUCUGUCACCCAGGCUGGAGCCCAGUGGCAGGAUCUCAGCUCAGUGCAAUCUCCACCUCCUGGGUUCAAGCGAUUCUCAUGUCUCAGCCUCCUGAGUAGCUGGGAUUACAGGUGCCCACCAUCACGCCUGGCUAAUUUUUGUAUUUUUAGUAGACUGGGUUUUGUCACGUUGGCCAGGCUGGUCUCAAACUCCUGACCUCAGGUGAUCCAUCUGCCUUGGCCUCCCAAAGUGCUGGGACUGCAGGUGUGAGCCACUGCGCCCGGCCUAUUGUGACAUAUUGUGAUAUUUCUUUCUUUUUUGUGUGACAGUGUCUCACUCUGUUGCAGGCUGGAGUACAGUGGCACAAUUUCGGCUCACCUCCACCUCCACUUCCUGGGUUCAAGCAAUUCUCAUGCCUCAGCCUCCCAAGUAACUGGGACUACAGGCGUGUACCACUACACCCGGCUAAUUUUUUAUAAUUUCAGUAGAGACGGGGUUUCACCAUGUUGGCUAGGCUGGUCUCGAACUCCUGACCUCAGGUGAUCCGCCCACCUUGGCCUCCCAAAAUGCUGGGAUUACAGGUGUGAGCCACUGCGCCCGGCCUAUUGUGAUAUUUCUUUACUUAAUAACUAGCAGAUGAAUCUCUUAACAGUAUUCUGUUUUCCUCUAAGCAUGCAUAAAAAGUGGUCAAAUAAGUCCAUGAUGACUCAUCACCUUUUCCCUGCAAGGAGUGUACUGUAGAUUACCAAACCUGCAGAAGCCGUCUGUGUGGAGACAGGAGGAGGACAAACCAGGCUUGCUCUGCUUCACACCCAGAGACCUGGAGCCACAGCAUGUGGAAAUUGCUUUCAUGACCUUUUAUACCCCCUGCUGAUAAAGCAAUUAGAAAACUGAAGAGUUUCACGGUGGUGAGAUAGAAUUUCACAAUACUGAGUGAGAUAUUAGCAAUGGACUCUCCGUAUGUCCCUAUGGUCUACAAGCUUAAUAUGUAUCUUUAAACAAACACAUAAAAAAAUUCAUUAACUGGAGAAACAAGAUUGUGGCCAUAGUCAACACUCUAUAAUGUCACCAUCUUCACCACUAUCUCUGCUUAAAAUUCUGCCGUACUAUCUUCAGAAUAAGGAUAAUGAAUUGGAAAUACGACCAUUUCUUUUCAUUGCCCUUGAUGGUUACCUUUUUAAAAAAAAAAAAAAAAAAGUAGGGUCUUACUCUAUCAUCCAGGCUGGAGUAUGGUGGCAUGAUCAGCCUUGAGCUCCUGGGCUCAAGUGAUACUCUCGCCUUAGCCUCCAGAGUAGCUAGGAUUAUAGGUCAGUGCCACCAUGCCUGGCUAACUUAAAUUUUUUUUUUGUAGAGACAGGGUCUUGCUAUGUUGCCUAAGCUGACAAUUACUUUAUUUAAAAGCUUUUUUUUCUGGCCAGGGGUGGUGGCUCACACCUGUAAUCCCAGCACUUUGGGAGGCUGAGGCGGGUGGAUCACCUGAGGUCAGGAGUUCGAG